RNAcentral lists this ribosomal RNA (492 nucleotides) under uncultured bacterium. RNAcentral's name for it is "partial 16S ribosomal RNA". It matches the Rfam family "Bacterial small subunit ribosomal RNA", at positions 29 to 507 of the family's 1533-position model. The record is from RNAcentral.
AGUGAACGCUGGCGGUAGGCCUAACACAUGCAAGUCGAACGGCAGCACAGUAAGAGCUUGCUCUUACGGGUGGCGAGUGGCGGACGGGUGAGGAAUACAUCGGAAUCUACUUUUUCGUGGGGGAUAACGUAGGGAAACUUACGCUAAUACCGCAUACGACCUACGGGUGAAAGCAGGGGAUCUUCGGACCUUGCGCGAUUGAAUGAGCCGAUGUCGGAUUAGCUAGUUGGCGGGGUAAAGGCCCACCAAGGCGACGAUCCGUAGCUGAUCUGAGAGGAUGAUCAGCCACACUGGAACUGAGACACGGUCCAGACUCCUACGGGAGGCAGCAGUGGGGAAUAUUGGACAAAGGGCGCAAGCCUGAUGCAGCCAUACCGCGUGGGUGAAGAAGGCCUUCGGGUUGUAAAGCCCUUUUGUUGGGAAAGAAAAGCAGCAGGUUAAUACCCCGCUGUUCUGACGGUACCCAAAGAAUAAGCACCGGCUAACUUCGUG